Brassica oleracea var. oleracea is the source of this 552-nucleotide long non-coding RNA. RefSeq lists it as uncharacterized. Lineage: Eukaryota; Viridiplantae; Streptophyta; Magnoliopsida; Brassicales; Brassicaceae. The record is from RefSeq and is a predicted model, not a curated record. The transcript has 2 exons.
UGAAUAUUUCUCUCUUUUUUGGCAUCUAUAUUUCUCUUCUUCUAUAAAUAGUGGCAGUUCCAUAUGUUCAAAUUAACCACAGCAAAUAAAAGCAUCAAAAGAAGAAGACAAAAAACAAAUUUCAAGUUUAAACCAAAGAGAAGUAAAAGAAGCAAUGGCAGGUUCUAACUGUGGAUGUGGUUCCGCUUGCAAAUGUGGUGACUCUUGCAGUUGCGAGAAGAACUACAAUACGGAGUGCGAUAACUGCAGCUGUGGAUCAAACUGCAGCUGCGGCGACAGCUGCAGCUGUUGAAGGAGUUCUGGUGUAAAUCACAUGCAUGCAUGAAAACUGGGGGAAAAGUGUGUAUGAUGUUAAGAGAUAUGUGUGUGUGUUUGAAUAAAGGUUUGGCAUGAUGUUGGCAUGAUGUUGCCUUGUUGCCUAAUAGCUCUCUUAACCUUGACUUUUUCUCUAUGUGUUUGGUGUUUAUUGUGUAAUGUUUUCAUUUGUAACGUAAGAAAAAAAAAAAUCUAUUGACUUUGUGAUUAUUAAAAUAUUAAGAUGUGUCUAAGCUU